RNAcentral lists this ribosomal RNA (486 nucleotides) under uncultured bacterium. Its description in RNAcentral is "partial 16S ribosomal RNA". It matches the Rfam family "Bacterial small subunit ribosomal RNA", at positions 29 to 507 of the family's 1533-position model. The record is from RNAcentral.
AUUGAACGCUGGCGGCAUGCUUUACACAUGCAAGUCGAGCGGCAGCGCGGGGGCAACCCUGGCGGCGAGCGGCGAACGGGUGAGUAAUGCAUCGGAACGUAUCCUCGAGUGGGGGAUAACCCAGCGAAAGUUGGGCUAAUACCGCAUGAGCUCUGAGGAGGAAAGCGGGGGACCUGCGAGGGCCUCGCGCUGGAGGAGCGGCCGAUGUCCGAUUAGCUAGUUGGUGGGGUAAAGGCUUACCAAGGCGACGAUCGGUAGCUGGUCUGAGAGGAUGAUCAGCCACACUGGGGCUGAGACACGGCCCAGACUCCUACGGGAGGCAGCAGUGGGGAAUUUUGGACAAUGGGGGCAACCCUGAUCCAGCCAUGCCGCGUGAGUGAAGAAGGCCUUCGGGUUGUAAAGCUCUUUCGGACGGAACGAAAUGGGCGGGACUAAUACUCCUGUCUGAUGACGGUACCGUAAGAAGAAGCACCGGCUAACUACGUG